AAAGCCCUUGCCUCAUUGAUGAUGCUCAUCUCUUGGGAGGUUUGGUCCGAGAGAAACGCUAGAGUCUUCCGCAACGUGGCGGUUCCAUCCGUGGUCAUCAUCAACAAGAUCAAGCAUGAGGCGUCGCUUUGGGCUUCAGCGGGUGCCAAGCACUUUAGUAUUGUAAUGCCGCGAGAGUAA
RNAcentral lists this ribosomal RNA (180 nucleotides) under Triticum aestivum (bread wheat). RNAcentral's name for it is "partial small subunit ribosomal RNA". The record is from RNAcentral. Lineage: Eukaryota; Viridiplantae; Streptophyta; Magnoliopsida; Poales; Poaceae.